RNAcentral lists this long non-coding RNA (1236 nucleotides) under Homo sapiens (human). Its description in RNAcentral is "long intergenic non-protein coding RNA 2731". The record is from RNAcentral. Lineage: Eukaryota; Metazoa; Chordata; Mammalia; Primates; Hominidae.
AACCCUGGUCCAGAGAGGCAGACGAAUGGCAGCCCUGCCCCGUGGGGGCUCCGGUUCUUCUCCUCCAUCCUCCUCCAGGCUCCGCCCACCUGCUCCGUCUGCCUCCCAGGGCCUCGUGAAUCCCAGGGAAGCCAUGAGCUGCCACAUCACGCCCGGAAGGAAGCGGGCUGCGUUGGAGGGGAAAAGACGCACCAGCAGCCUAGAAUUCGAGGCACUGCAGAGCCGGAAGGGGCCUCGGCGCUGCUCCCUCCGCCCCCUCAUUUCACAAACCGGAAACUGAGACCCAAAGCAAGGAAGGGACUUGGCCAAGUUGAAGAGAUGAAGGCGCAGAGGCAUGAACUCCCGUAGCCAGAGAGUGUGAGCUGGACUCUACCUGGAGCAGCCUCGGUGCAGAGCCCAUGCCCCCAACCAUGUCCGUGGUCGAGGCCCAGCCCAGACAGGGCACAAAGGGGCUGAGGAAGAGGAAGUAAGAUGCCAGGGUUGCCAUGCAGGAGGGCAACCCCAAGUGAGAUGGGCAUCGUGGCCUAGGGCCCACCUUCCGGAAGAGCUCAUCAGAACUUCGGACACACUGCAUGGGCCUAGACCCAGGGCUCGUUGAGCUCCUCCCUCGGAUUGGCUUCGAAUUUUAGCUUCCGGCCCCAGCAGUUCUCGGACCUGGGGUAGUUUCCUCCCCGCAAGUAACAAAGGAGGACAAGCCCCAGCUUCUCUAAGAUGCCUUCAGCUGCCUGGAAGAGGCCUGUGGAAGGCCCUGCAACUCUCCGCAGACCUCUGGGCAUUGCUGCUGCUUCUCAGUGCCCCUCGUCCCCUCAGCCAGACAGUUGGUGAUCCUCUACCCUCCCGGUGACUGGUGAGAACUACCCCCACAGAGAGCCAGCAGAGAGGAAGGCUCCCAGCUCCGGGCCCUGACUCAUCACACACACAAACACUCCCCAGCACUCUUUCCCAAAACAGUUCCCCUCCCACCCAUCCACCCUCCUACCGGGGCUGGGUGACAAAAAUGAACGCCCCAGAGAUCUUGCCAAGUUCUGGGCCACGCUCAGCCCAGGGAACACGCAAUUCCCCGUAGAAUGGGAGGAGCAGGCCCCGCCCCCUCUGGAAGCAAACAAUGUCCAUUGGAAGGAAACGACCACCUGACUCUACAAUGAUCACUGUACUGUUUUCCAAAUACCUUGGACCACUCUCCCCCAAGAAAGAGUUCAAAGCUCUAUAAUCAUAAAAUAUUAGAGCUUAAGGCAA